Molecule: non-coding RNA, 184 nt
Organism: Peptoniphilus grossensis
Lineage: Bacteria; Bacillati; Bacillota; Tissierellia; Tissierellales; Peptoniphilaceae
Source: Rfam
UAAAUUCUGCGAUGUGCGAAAUAAUCCUUUUUAAUUCAACCGACAAAUAGAACACGGGAAACUGUGUAUCAGUGAGAUAUGACAAGCCGUCUUUGAGCGGAAGUCAGAAGACACUAUCAAGUUUUUGACCCACCAUGAAAAUGGGCGGGGUGAAUUAAUUAGGUAACGGCAUUGCGGUUUUUAC